Non-coding RNA from Zonotrichia albicollis (white-throated sparrow), 1321 nucleotides. Lineage: Eukaryota; Metazoa; Chordata; Aves; Passeriformes; Passerellidae. The record is from RefSeq and is a predicted model, not a curated record.
CCAGGAAUGGGGAUGUCCCUGCUGGGAAUGGGGAUAUUCCUGCUGGGAAUGGUGCUGCUCCCUGGGAACGGUGCUGUCCCUAUUGGGAAUGGGGAUAUUCCUGCUAGAAGUGGUUCUGUUCCUGUUGGGAAUGGUGCUGUCCCCCCAUGGUCUGCCUGUGCCGUGGUGGGUGCUCAGCCCCGGAGCCUCCUCAGCUGCCCCAGGAGAAGGCAGCACCCAAUUUCCCAGUGGUGGAGAGGAGGAAAAAGGGGGAGAGGGAGAUGCUUUAUUUUCCGCCCCGUGCAAUAAAGUGUGAUUAUAAAGAAUAUAACAGGGAGCACAGCUUGAAUUCCAAUCGGUGCAGGGCCCGUUGUUAACCAUCAGGGAACUAUUUAUUCUCCAGCCUUACUGGUGCUCCUUGGUCAAUAAUGAUAAAGGGGGGAAAGGAGAAGAACUUGAAGCCAUUAUAAAGCAGCAAUCCCAUUACAGAGGAGCAGCAGCAAGAGCCCCCCCCAGAAUCUAUGAUUCCCUCAGGUCAUGUCUCAUGUGCUCAGAGCACUGGCCACUGUCAGGAUUUACCCUGCAUCAUUAACCCACCAAAGAGAGGUUUUUUCCUUGCCAGAAAUGACUGAUUUCUCCAGCCUGAUGGCAGUCAUCGUUUGGGAGACAGAGCAGCACUCCCCUGCUGCUGAGCUAUCUCCAGAGAUAUUUAAUAAAUAAAUAAAUAAAAUAGCUGGAUGCUCGACCAGCUUCUCGGGAAGAGGGAAGACAAUGUGGCCGUUUAUUGUGAUUAAAUACUUGCCGCUCCCUAAUUCUGACACUCUCUCACACACACAGACAGGCAGCACCCGUGUGCGCUCGAUCAGCUCCCCAAACAUUAUUUAUCAUUUGCAUUUCUCUUCCAGCCAGGGCCAGGCUGUCCCAGGCUGUGCAAGGAGCAGGAGCAGCCCCUGUCCCACCCAGCUGCUCUUCCUCUGCCUCACUGGAUUCCACCUCAGCUGUGCCAAGGCAAGAUGGAAAUGAAGACCUGCAAGAAGCAGCAGAAGGAAGGACAGCAGCAGAGGAACUGGAGACCAUGAGUUUAGAUAAAAGCUUGACUUGAAGCCUUGGUACAGCUGCACCCAAAUCCUUUUGUGGGAGCCCAGGAAUGAGGUUCCUGAUGGCUGAGGAGGAGCCUUGGAGCUGCUGCUGGGAGAGAAAGCCAUGCUUCUUCCCCUGAACACGCUGCUGUCUUCCUGCUGUGUGAUGCCUUCCAUAAGCUCUUCUGGGGAUGGGGGCAUAAAUCAUCAUAAAGCCAUGGCACGGCAUAUAAAUCAUAAUAAAGAAUAAUGAUACGUAAUAA